UGGGUUUAAAGGGUGCGUAGGUGGGUAUUUAAGUCAGWGGUGAAAUCCURGAGCUUAACUCYAGAACUGCCWUUGAUACUAUYUAUCUUGAAUAKUGUGGAGGUAAGCRGAAUAUGUCAUGUAGCGGUGAAAUGCWUAGAUAUGACAUAGAACACCUAUUGCGAAGGCAGCUUACUACGCAUAUAUUGACGCUGAGGCACGAAAGCGUGGGGAUCAAACAGGAUUAGAUACCCUGGUAGUCCACGCCCUAAACGAUGGAUACUCGACAUACGCGAUACACUGUGUGUGUCUGAGCGAAAGCAUUAAGUAUCCCACCUGGGAAGUACGACCGCAAGGUUGA
RNAcentral lists this ribosomal RNA (340 nucleotides) under Flavobacterium gastricum. RNAcentral describes it as "partial 16S ribosomal RNA". It matches the Rfam family "Bacterial small subunit ribosomal RNA", at positions 555 to 897 of the family's 1533-position model. The record is from RNAcentral. Lineage: Bacteria; Pseudomonadati; Bacteroidota; Flavobacteriia; Flavobacteriales; Flavobacteriaceae.